GAUGAAGUUAUCAUACAGGGUCACGUGUAGUAAAAAGACUAAGAUAGAAAACAAAAGCAUAAAAUAAUAUAAUAACACCCAAUUAAAUAAAACUAGAAGCGCAAAGAUAAAAAACAGGGAGUGUGUCUAGACCAAACCCGUAAAGAUUAGGGUGCAGCAAUGCAAUGCAGGGUGGCAUGAGAUCUGUUUGGCCCCAAUCUUAGGCCUUUUUUUUAUUUCCAAAUCAGAAAGCAUUUAGGGUUCUCUUCUUCUUCCGCGUAGAACCAAGGUUUGGCUGGCUUCAUUGUCCACAGUAGAUCCAUGGUUCCAGACUAGCGCUGCCGCACACCUCCUUGGCCUACCAACAGUCACUGCCGAUGGUGUUGCCUACGCCAGAAACGUUAUCGUUUUUCGUGAGCCACCGCCGCAGGAACACCAACCCCUAGUCAGACCACCACCGUGAGCAACCACCGCGCCUCCGAAAGUCAACACGAACUCCAAUCGCACAGCCGCGAUGAUCACCACGUGAAUCUCCUCUUUUAUUCUCAAAUGCACUCUAGUCUAUUACACACAUUCUAUUUUGGGUUGGGAUCUCACGUUGAUGAGGUUUUACAUGUUUUCCUUUUUUUUAAUAAAACUUUAUUUGUUUCUUGGAUUUGUUCCAGUGCCGACAGGAAAUGGAUUUGUUGGGGAAUAAAACUUAGUCUCUAUUGUUAUUUAAGUCUGAUGGGAUUUACUGAAAUUACAUUUUGUAUAGCUUUGAUUAACGUAUUAUAUCUCAAAGAACACAACCAUGCAUUACAUUCAUAACCAGACAUGUAACAGAGACAUGAGAUGUAAUAGAGGAGCAUGCAUUCACAUAGAACCAAGCUUAGACACGACAACUUACCUCCGCUGCUUUAAAAGAAAGGGUGAAAGAAACUGAUGAAGGCGGAUGGUUCUCCUCUCCUCUGGCCGUGAGGUCCCUUCCUACCAAGUAGUGAUGAUCGGUGAUGGCUUAGAGUCUCCAAUGUUUGGUGAUGGUAAGGUGUUUCUUUCGAUGAAUGAUGUUCCCCCCUUUUGGUUGUUGUGAUGGUGAAUAAUAUAUGAUCCCCAAUUCUCUCAGGCGUGAUAAAGGAAAUCAAAUAUCCUCAAUAAUCAGUCUCGUCGGAUUUUUUAGGAAACUGAUUUCCCUCCCCAGAAAAACGUCCCUUUAUUUCAUUUCUCUGUUUCCUUUCUGGAUGGUCAAGGCGUAUUCCCCGAGAAUUUCCUCCUUGUUUCUUUCUUCUUUUUAUGUUUNAAUUGGAUCGAUUAAGNAAACAAUUUAAAUAUCNCNUCCCCUUUUGUAGCUGAUUGCAGCUAAUUGGUAUCCGAUUGCAGUUACUUGNUAUCNGANUGCANUAAUGUGUAAAGAUUUUUGUCGUGGAAUGUGAUAUUUUGCGGAAAGAACUGAUCUUGCGUCUCACUUGUUUUUGAUUUUUUUUCUUUAAAAGAGACUAAAUAAAAUAC
Molecule: long non-coding RNA, 1467 nt
Filed under: Vigna radiata
Lineage: Eukaryota; Viridiplantae; Streptophyta; Magnoliopsida; Fabales; Fabaceae
Description: long non-coding RNA (VRAD_LNC012562)
Source: RNAcentral